Molecule: ribosomal RNA, 253 nt
Filed under: uncultured bacterium
Lineage: Bacteria
Description: partial 16S ribosomal RNA
Rfam family: Archaeal small subunit ribosomal RNA
Source: RNAcentral
UACCAGCACCCCGAGUGGUCGGACCGAUUAUUGGGCCUAAAGCAUCCGUAGCCGGUUUUACAAGUCCUCCGUUAAAUCCAGCUGCUUAACAGAUGGGCUGCGGAGGAUACUAUAAGACUAGGAGGCAGGAGAGGCAAGCGGUACUCAGUGGGUAGGGGUAAAAUCCGUUGAUCCAUUGAAGACCACCAGUGGCGAAGGCGGCUUGCCAGAAUGCGCUCGACGGUGAGGGAUGAAAGCUGGGGGAGCAAACCGG